GACGAACGCUGGCGGCGUGCUUAACACAUGCAAGUCGAGCGGUAAGGCCCUUUCGGGGGUACGACGAGCGGCGAACGGGUGAGUAACACGUGGGUGACCUGCCCUCAGCUCUGGGAUAAGCCUGGGAAACCGGGUCUAAUACUGGAUAUGACUCCAUGACGCAUGUUGUGGGGUGGAAAGCCUUGUGCGGCUGAGGAUGGGCCCGCGGCCUAUCAGCUUGUUGGUGGGGUGAGGCCUACCAAGGCGACGACGGGUAGCCGGCCUGAGAGGGCGACCGGCCACACUGGGACUGAGACACGGCCCAGACUCCUACGGGAGGCAGCAGUGGGGAAUCUUGCGCAAUGGGCGAAAGCCUGACGCAGCGACGCCGCGUGAGGG
RNAcentral lists this ribosomal RNA (378 nucleotides) under uncultured bacterium. RNAcentral's name for it is "bacterial SSU rRNA". It matches the Rfam family "Bacterial small subunit ribosomal RNA", at positions 28 to 407 of the family's 1533-position model. The record is from RNAcentral.